RNAcentral lists this ribosomal RNA (525 nucleotides) under uncultured bacterium. RNAcentral describes it as "bacterial SSU rRNA". It matches the Rfam family "Bacterial small subunit ribosomal RNA", at positions 8 to 525 of the family's 1533-position model. The record is from RNAcentral.
AGAGUUUGAUCCUGGCUCAGAUUGAACGCUGGCGGCAUGCUUUACACAUGCAGGUCGAACGGCAGCACGGGCUUCGGCCUGGUGGCGAGUGGCGAACGGGUGAGUAAUGCAUCGGAACGUACCCAUUUGUGGGGGAUAACUACGCGAAAGCGUGGCUAAUACCGCAUACGCCCUGAGGGGGAAAGCGGGGGAUUCUUCGGAGCCUCGCGCAAAUGGAGCGGCCGAUGUCAGAUUAGCUUGUUGGUGAGGUAAAGGCUCACCAAGGCGACGAUCUGUAGCGGGUCUGAGAGGAUGAUCCGCCACACUGGGACUGAGACACGGCCCAGACUCCUACGGGAGGCAGCAGUGGGGAAUAUUGGACAAUGGGCGCAAGCCUGAUCCAGCCAUGCCGCGUGUGUGAAGAAGGCCUUUUGGUUGUAAAGCACUUUAAGCGAGGAGGAGGCUACUUGGAUUAAUACUCUAGGAUAGUGGACGUUACUCGCAGAAUAAGCACCGGCUAACUCUGUGCCAGCAGCCGCGGUAAUA